GACGAACGCUGGCGGCGUGCUUAACACAUGCGAGUCGAACGGAAAGGCCCUGCUUUUGUGGGGUGCUCGAGUGGCGAACGGGUGAGUAACACGUGAGUAACCUGCCCUUGACUUUGGGAUAACUUCAGGAAACUGGGGCUAAUACCGGAUAGGAGCUCCUGCUGCAUGGUGGGGGUUGGAAAGUUUCGGCGGUUGGGGAUGGACUCGCGGCUUAUCAGCUUGUUGGUGGGGUAGUGGCUUACCAAGGCUUUGACGGGUAGCCGGCCUGAGAGGGUGACCGGCCACAUUGGGACUGAGAUACGGCCCAGACUCCUACGGGAGACAGCAGUGGGGAAUAUUGCACAAUGGGCGGAAGCCUGAUGCAGCAACGCCGCGUGCGGGAUGACGGCCUUCGGGUUGUAAACCGCUUUCGCCUGUGACGAAGCGUGAGUGACGGUAAUGGGUAAAGAAGCACCGGCUAACUACGUG
This 468-nucleotide ribosomal RNA is filed under the name uncultured bacterium. RNAcentral describes it as "partial 16S ribosomal RNA". It matches the Rfam family "Bacterial small subunit ribosomal RNA", at positions 28 to 507 of the family's 1533-position model. The record is from RNAcentral.